Podarcis raffonei (Aeolian wall lizard) is the source of this 1833-nucleotide long non-coding RNA. RefSeq lists it as uncharacterized. Lineage: Eukaryota; Metazoa; Chordata; Lepidosauria; Squamata; Lacertidae. The transcript is spliced from 2 exons. The record is from RefSeq and is a predicted model, not a curated record.
CCCCUCAGACAGGUGUUAACAAUUAGUCCCCAAAGUGGGAACAGAUGAUGGGGCUGCCAGCAUCCCUCCUCAGCCCAUAUAAAUCUUUGAGUUAACCUGCUGAGGGAGGGAGGGAACAUGCUGUAGAUUAGACUGACGUUUGAUGCCAGAGAAGACCGUUUGGUGCCUAUGUGUGAGUUAUUAGAAGCUUGGAGGGAGGACUCGGGAAAGCGACCCCCUCCAUGAAACAAGGUUUUAUUUAUGGAGCCUCGGAGCCGCCUGGAAAAUACUGGCCUGGGACAAUAUUUUCCUUGAUGAAGAAACCUGCCACCUUUAUCAUCUGGAAAUGUGACAGGCUGAACCAUCAUUCACUCGCGCAACAUUUCCCCCUUUUGGAUCUUCUAACGCAUUCCUGUGCAACAUGAAGCCCGUGGACCAAUUGAAGAUGCCUCCCUGAUUACUGCAGCUCUUCCUUGGAGAAUUAAUUCCAAAUGCUCCCUGUUUGCCACCCAUUUCUACCUUUGAUGGAGGAGUGUGGGGGUUUCCUGGUCUGUUCCUCUUCUCUCCCGUUUGAGCUCUAUGGUUUCAGACCUUCAUUCCCAGGGAACCCUGGCACCCCUAAAGUCUCGCUGCUCAGAGACUGGGGUUUGUGAAACAGAUGUGCUAAUAGAGGCCAAUGAGAACAUUGGUGGUGCAGAAAUGGGGUUUUAACAGAGAACGGGUGAAAAAAGAAACGCUGGGUUCAAAUGGAAAUAAAACUUCUUUUCCUUGGUGGCGAUGUGCCCUUUCCCAAGCUAGUAAAGCAGAAAAAUGGCCCUUAGAGUGAUUUAGGUCUUGUAGAACCUGCUCUGCUGACCUCUGAACUUUAAAGCCGCUGUCACGAUUCAGGGUAUGGGCAGAGUGAGUCAGGGACCGACAUGGUGAGACCAGGGUUGGCAGCAGUCCAAUUGGCGGGUCCACAGUCAGGAGCAAGUCCAAUGGAUGCCAGGAUGCAGAAUAACGGGGGAUGGGGAACUGGCACUGGCCUACAGCAUGGCAUGAAACCACAUUGCUGUUGCAAAGACUCAGGGGGAAAUGCAGGCCUUAUAUAGUCCUCCUGAGCUUGCCAACCAGGUGAUUGAUACUGUUAGUUUCUGUUUUGCCACUGUGCAGCUGCUUAGAGUCACAAGGCUCUAUUUACAUUCCAGAGGCAGUCCAGGCUGUUGGAAGUCUCACGGGAGAUGGGAGACGGAUGUGACGUCACUGGUUUCCUGUUUCUUUGUUUGUUUCAGUUGCUCUCUGCUUUCACAGAGAGAGGAUGUAUAUUUCUUUGCUGUCUGCGUAGUAAGAAAUAAAGCAUAGCGAUGUAGCCAUAAAUCUCAUCACUUCCCUGUGCUGGAAACUCUGCUGAACGGGAAUGUGCCUGAGGCCUCAUCAAAGGCUCUGGUCGUUAAUUAUCAUCGGAGGCGAUUCCAAAGGACUCAGCCGGAGGAAAAUGAGCUUUAUCAGCUUGGCCAGGUGGAGAUCCCGACAGAUACAACCGUCCUCUGAUCACGCCUGCUGGCCUGCACCUGCUUCCCCCGAGGCAAACACAGCAAGGGCCUGGUUCCUCCAAACACUUGCAGUGCUCAGGGCCUGGCUCCUGCAAACACUCAUGGUGCUUAUUACAGCCGCAUUGGGAAUCGGGCUGGACCCUGAGUGACAGUAACAUGUUGAGAACUAGACGGGCAAAACCCUUCCUUACCAGUACUCAACAGGCAGAUCCCAUGGUAGUUGUUACAGUCACGGCAGCCACCUUUGUUCUUGUAGAGUUGUGUAUGUCUUGUGGCACAAAGAAUGGCAGGUUAGAAAUAAAAUAAAUCGGCACAGCUUCAA